GGGAGGAGGACCAGAGAGGGACUGCUGGGAGACAACAUGGCUGGGGAGGAGGACCAGACAGGGACUGCUGGGAGACAACAUGACUGGGGGAGGAGGACCAGAGAGGGACUGCUGGGAGACAACAUGGCUGGGGGAGGAGGACCAGAGAGGGACUGCUGGGAGACAACAUGGCUGGGGGAGGAGGACCAGAGAGGGACUGCUGGGAGAUAACAUGGCUGGGGGAGGAGGACCAGAGAGAGACUGCUGGGAGACAACAUGGCUGGGGGAGGAGGACCAGAGAGGGACUGCUGGGAGAUAACAUGGCUGGGGGAGGAGGACCAGAGAGGGACUGCUGGGAGACAUCUCUCUUUACCCUCUCAUCACUAACAGACACGUAAUUGUCCCCCAUCACAAUUUGCCUGCAAUCCCCUUGUAGAUCCUCCAGUCCUGUAUACAUUUCUCCAACACAACUAUACUUCAUACUAUUCAGCCACAGCCAUCCAUCCAACCAGAAACAGCCAGUCUCUGCUCAGCGAAGACUCUUCACGCCCAUUUGUAACCAAAAAUGUUUUUUUUUUUUUUUACAUAGGGUGAUAUUUUGCCUGAGCAAUUGGCAGUGACCAAAAUAACCAUAACAUAUUUUUAAUUAGAUGGGCAGUCCUCAAAGAUGAAAUUCCAUUGAAUCAUAUGAUUAGAUCCAUUGAUUUCCAGCCCGUAGGGUUGGAUGCCACUAAUCUCAUUAUAAUGUACCAUUGUGUAGGGCAGAGCAGGUGCUAGUCAUCCACGGUGAUGUUAUAGUAUAACCUGUUAUAUUGGUUUCAGAGUCGAGCACUGAUAGGGUGUGGUUGCAUUAGCAGGACAUAAAUACUCACCCAAGUAAACAUAUUACACAUUUGAAGACAGCUGCAUGAAAGGAUCAGCACGUAAUAGGUGAUUGAAAGCACUGUCUGUUUGGUGUUACAUACUGCACUCACCAGUCAAGCAACCAGCGGCAAACUGAAAACAGGGAAAGAAAAAACAAAACAUGAACACUUUAUAUGAGAAAACAUUCUCAAAAGAACACAUGAGUAUAGAGCUAUUGAAAAUGGAAACAUCAUUACAAGAUCAUAAAUACCUUCAUAAAAACAUCCCGGAGUACCCUGAAAAUGUGGAAUUCCACAUAUCCAAUGUUUCCCAUGUUACUAACCAAGCAGGCCUGGAUGGGAUCCUGUCAGAUGGAUUUAAGGGUGGACAAAAAAGAGGUACUUACAUGUGGUGGGGUCUUAACAUUGACGACAUCAUUAUCAAGGAAGCGGAGAUGCGCUACCUUGAUAGGCAGAUCCCUAACAGGCACUCCUCAAGUCUCCAAACUGAAGAGAGGCAACCUCAGGAAUCAUUCCUGAAAAAGUUUACCACCUCCCCUGUCUUCCAAAAAGGAUCUCGGUACGGGAACUUUAAGUUCACCUUCCCCUUGGAGGAUCUCAUGCAGAUGUACACAGAGCAGAUCUGUGAAAAAAUGAAGCCUGUCCUGAGAGUCUAUGAAACUGUGGUUUACAAGCAGGAGAUCAUGUAUACAGUGGUUGUCCACAGUCCAAAGGUGACACAGUUUAAUCAGUUCCCACUUCUUGAAGGUGCUGAAGCUAUGUGUAGCUAUAGAGAGGGCACAAUUGUCUGGAACGCACAGGCUGUGUCUGAGACCCACAACUAUCAAUUGAUCAUAAAGGACAAUAUGAUCAAAGCCAAAAAGGUUAAAGAAGGCACACAUCAGUUUUUUGUGUGGGAUCAUGUGACACUAGCAUUUCACAUGCCUCAUGGCACUGCCCUACGUGUUGAUAGGAAGGACCUGAUUGAAAGCCUCAAAGCAUGUGAUAGUGUUGAACCGUUGUAUAGGAAAGCAGACCCAGUGAUGUCAUGUGAAACAGCAGCAAUCAUUGUUGAUUCUCUGAAUGCAAACGGGCUCUAACCAGCAAACAACCUAAUCAUGGAGUACUAUAGAGUACAAAAUAAAUAGAUCUUAACUUCUCAGGGGAGUUCUACCAUAUGGAAUUGUUUUAAAGUGGUCAUACCAUGAAUUAUUUAGCCAUUUGAUUUAGAAUUGUAGGACACCUUUAGGUAUAAAAAAACGCAAAAUAAAAUAAAGAUGGCAGCAAGCUGUUGAUGCUGAAAACUCCUUUCUUCUGAUGAAAAUAACCAAUUCAACAAGAAAACAGGAUUAUCAGCUACUUGCAGUUCUGAGCCUACCUGGAUAGUAAGGAGAUCCUGAGUGAAAUCGACAAGUAACAGCAGCUUUAUGGUACACAGGAAUAACAUACUCCAUUGUGAAUAAAUGCCCCUACCUUACAAAAUAACUAUAACCCAACUAAAAAAAGAAAGACUGAUUCAUCUACAGACACUGACAAUUUUCUUACCGUUGAAGUAGAGGCUAACGGUCUUGCAGGAAUCCAUGCAACACUUGAAAAGUUAUGUGAGGAGGUAACAGGGUUGAGGGAGUUUAGUCAGAGUGAAGACAAGACCAAGGGUCCCCGACCUAUCCUCACAACAUUUGAACACUACCAACAAAAGGAGCUGAUCAAAAGCAGGGGAACGGAGCUUAAAGGGACAACAUUUGAUUUCAAUUAACAAUCUCCCUUGGAGAUAAACAAACAUCACAAGAGACUGUGUCCUGUACAGAGGCAACAGAGGAGAGGGGUAAGGGCCUUUCUCCUUGUGGACAAACUCUUUAUAGAUGGACAACUCUUCUCAGACAGCUCCAUAAUACCAUGGCUGUUCUAAAUUCUACAUGGUCAUCAGGAUACGAAAACAAAAGCAGGUAUCUCUCUCUCUCUCUCUCUCUCUCUCUCUCUCUCUCUCUCUCUCUCUCUCUCUCUCUCUCUCUCUCUCUCUCUCAGAAUUGUUCUAUAAUCAAUGAUGUCUGUUUUGUGUAUCUUUUGUAUGUCUGUCUACAUACGUAUCUAUGUUUAGAACAAGCAAUGGGAAGAUAUCAGAACAGGGGCGUUGGGUGACACAUUUGUGUGGGGCACACACUUAUACAGGACACAUUUGUACUGUAGUGAAGCCGUCUCUAUAGUAAUGCAAUGUCUCUUUCAUAAUCACGUGAAACGUCAAUUACUACGGAAAUGCUGUGUAAAUGCUGUGUUUUUCUAUGAAAAUGAUAUUAAAUGUAACUGUGAUGCAACUAUGACGGUGAUACGAUAUGGAUUACAAUUGUCAUCUUGAGUAUGAAGGCUGCACUCACUUCAUGUUAUACACAUAGACACUCAUCACACACUAUAGUCUUACUCUUAUCCAGACAUCAUACACACUCUCACUAAAUCACAUACAAUUUCACACACAUCAACCUACUCAGAUCUACUUAGAUUCUUUGCUAUUAGGUUGACUGUUUCUUCCCAACGGUAAAUGGUGUAGCUGUUGUUGUUAAAUCAAUGGUUUGAUGGUAAUUAAAUAUUUAAUUAUGUUUAUUAGGUCAAUGAUUCUGAUUUGAAUGAUGUUCUUAAUGUGAUAAUACAAUAUAUUCUAAGCUUGAGCAUGUGGCUCUCAGCGUUGCAUCAAUGCAACUGUAACAAAACCAGAGAACUGCAAUAAGAUGACUGACAGUUGCUCUGGAUAAGAGCGUCUGCUAAAUCAGGGCUUCCCAACUAUUCCCCCCCCCAAGGGCCCUCUUUAUUUUAUAUUUGAAGACGCCCCCCCCUUUGAAUGAUUGUUUACUGAGAUAGUCAAUAUUAAAUACACUGCCAAAAGCUUAAAUACACCCCUCUAAUCCAGGAAAGUCUCGCGACCACCCAGGACACUUUGGAGCCCCACUAUGGGAAGGGGGGGGGGACCCCUAGGUUGGGAUUCCCUGUGCUAAAUGACCAGAAUGUAAAUAUAGUCUGAUAAAUAAUCAUGUUCAUCAUUCUACCUUUUUGUGUUGUAUUUAUAUUACUCUGCUUCCUCUUCCUCUUCAUUAAACUAGGAUUACAUAUUGUGUCUUGGAAUUUUACUCCCUUUCUGUUGUUUGAUAUAACUGAAUAAAUAUGAUGAAGCCUGUGCAA
Long non-coding RNA from Oncorhynchus masou masou (cherry salmon), 3989 nucleotides. RefSeq lists it as uncharacterized. Lineage: Eukaryota; Metazoa; Chordata; Actinopteri; Salmoniformes; Salmonidae. The transcript is spliced from 2 exons. The record is from RefSeq and is a predicted model, not a curated record.